GUAAGAAAUCUGGUUAGUUUUC
This 22-nucleotide microRNA is filed under the name Heligmosomoides polygyrus. Its description in RNAcentral is "hpo-miR-255-5p". Its record names the gene hpo-miR-255-5p. The record is from miRBase by way of RNAcentral. Lineage: Eukaryota; Metazoa; Nematoda; Chromadorea; Rhabditida; Heligmosomidae.